ACACUCUGUUCUUUGAUGAUGAGAAACUUCAAAUGUCACGACUGCACCUUUCCGUGAUAAAGCAGGAGUGACUGUUACGAAGCAGAUGACAUCUCAUUAUGAGGAAAGGGUGAUUCCUCUUCUCUGGAUGAAGACAGCUGUCAAUCAAGCAAGAUCCCUGAGCACUGAGAUACUGCUCUAACGUCACCUGCCUGUGCAUUGCUAAUGAGAAGCUGGCCUUUGUGGGCUCUCAGGGUUGAGGGUUGGAAGUGGACUGGGGGUUCCCCGGGCACCCUCCCCCACCUCCCUGGGAUGAUGCGCCUUUAUAUGGUUAAGACCGUCUCCAUAUCAGGGGGGCACCCCAGUGGUCACAAAUCACCCCCCUUCCCCUCGGGCUGAAAUCACCUCCCCAAUAAGGCAUCGUUCUGUAUGUUUUAUUUCACCAGAAAAGGAUUUCUCACCCAAACACAAGAAUAACUGUUUUUCAAGGUACUCAAUCUUCCAGGCAUCUACUUAAGACCGGCUGACAAGCCCAAAUAUCAAGUCUGUGCUGUUAGUAAUCCCCU
Molecule: long non-coding RNA, 545 nt
Filed under: Bos taurus (domestic cattle)
Lineage: Eukaryota; Metazoa; Chordata; Mammalia; Artiodactyla; Bovidae
Description: long non-coding RNA NONBTAT012604
Source: RNAcentral